AAGGCAGGGAAGAACUAUUAAGAAU
This 25-nucleotide non-coding RNA is filed under the name Cricetulus griseus (Chinese hamster). Lineage: Eukaryota; Metazoa; Chordata; Mammalia; Rodentia; Cricetidae. The record is from RNAcentral.